UAGCUGUUAAAAGGGAAUGCCCGCUCAA
RNAcentral lists this non-coding RNA (28 nucleotides) under Homo sapiens (human). Lineage: Eukaryota; Metazoa; Chordata; Mammalia; Primates; Hominidae. The record is from RNAcentral.